ACGACCCAAUCCCCACAGCACCCACACAUCACACACCUCCACCCCCAAUCUCCGACCCGAGGGCUCCCGAACCCUAGCUCACGCGCCCGCGCCGUCCAUGGCUCUCGUCGUGUACGCGUGAGCGGGGGAUCUGUCUACCAUCCGUGGGGGCGGGGCGGCGAGAGAGAGAGAGAGGCGGGCGGGCGGGGAUGGAGGCGAGGCGGAUCUCGGCCAGCUCCCGGCCGUGGAACGGCCGGCGGGUGGUGGCGAGGAAGCGGCCCAGGUAGGAGGCGCCCGUCAGCAGCGUCAGGAAGCUCCAGCGCAGGGAGAUCAGCUCCCGCCGCGACCGCUCCUUCGCCAUGAACUCCGCGCAGGAGCGCUUCCGCAACAUUCAGCUGCAGGAUGGAGGAGGACCUCGUGUAGGUGCUGGCCUGAUGUGGACGGAGGGGGACGGGGCGGGGGAGGAGCACGUCCUGAUGUGUACGGAGGAGCACGUCUGAGCAAAAUUGUAAUAUGAGCAAAAUUGUAAUUAAUGUUCAGUUUAAAUACAAUUAUGUAGAGAAACUUUGGAUUGUAUAGAAUAAAGAGCGAAUUUGUUUUUAUUCUA
This is a long non-coding RNA of Lolium perenne, 586 nucleotides long. RefSeq lists it as uncharacterized. The record is from RefSeq and is a predicted model, not a curated record. Lineage: Eukaryota; Viridiplantae; Streptophyta; Magnoliopsida; Poales; Poaceae.